GACGAACGCUGGCGGCGUGCUUAACACAUGCAAGUCGAACGGAAAGGCCCUGCUUUUGUGGGGUGCUCGAGUGGCGAACGGGUGAGUAACACGUGAGUAACCUGCCCUUGACUUUGGGAUAACUUCAGGAAACUGGGGCUAAUACCGGAUAGGAGCUCCUGCUGCAUGGUGGGGGUUGGAAAGUUUCGGCGGUUGGGGAUGGACUCGCGGCUUAUCAGCUUGUUGGUGGGGUAGUGGCUUACCAAGGCUUUGACGGGUAGCCGGCCUGAGAGGGUGACCGGCAACAUUGGGACUGAGAUACGGCCCAGACUCCUACGGGAGGCAGCAGUGGGGAAUAUUGCACAAUGGGCGGAAGCCUGAUGCAGCAACGCCGCGUGCGGGAUGACGGCCUUCGGGUUGUAAACCGCUUUCGCCUGUGACGAAGCGUGAGUGACGGUAAUGGGUAAGAAGCACCGGCUAACUACGUG
This 467-nucleotide ribosomal RNA is filed under the name uncultured bacterium. Its description in RNAcentral is "partial 16S ribosomal RNA". It matches the Rfam family "Bacterial small subunit ribosomal RNA", at positions 28 to 507 of the family's 1533-position model. The record is from RNAcentral.